GUUCCAGAGAUGCGGUCGAAGGCCUGGCUGACCGCACGGCAACCCGAUGAUCGGCCGGGUGCCCCCAGGCGGAGAACGGGCCCGCGGUGUCCCCCGCGGGCAAGAUUCGAUG
Molecule: non-coding RNA, 112 nt
Filed under: Brevibacterium yomogidense
Lineage: Bacteria; Bacillati; Actinomycetota; Actinomycetes; Micrococcales; Brevibacteriaceae
Description: SAM-IV sequence
Rfam family: SAM (S-adenosyl methionine) riboswitch aptamer
About the family: SAM-IV is a mRNA element that regulates gene expression via direct sensing of S-adenosylmethionine (SAM or AdoMet). SAM-IV riboswitches share conserved nucleotide positions with the previously described SAM-I riboswitches sequence analysis and molecular recognition experiments suggest that SAM-I and SAM-IV riboswitches share similar ligand binding sites, but have different scaffolds.
Source: RNAcentral